UUGCUGGCUGCUCUCCCGCUGGCGGCUGAAAGCUUGUCAGUAGUGCCUCCCAUCGCGCUCCCUCCCAGGCUUCUCCCGCCCCCCCCCCCGCCACAGGAGAGACGUCAGAACCCUCCCGGAGCUCCACUCCGCCGGCAUUAAUGCAUUGACGGCCCCAGCCUGCGCUCCAUCAUAUUCAUGCGCUGCUGCUUCUCUCUCUCUAUCUCUACCCCCCCGGCCCUGUGGUGUCGCCUGUGCGGAGGCCGGACCUGACGUCUCUCUCUCUCUCACUUGGUUCAUCUCGGGUGCUGCUGCGGUCCCCCGGGGCUGCCGUGAUACGUCUUGCGAGGUGUCGCUGGUGAGCUGUCGGUCGGCUUUGCCGUGGGGAAGGAUCUUCGUGGAGCUGUUUGGAUGUCCUAUGGCGGACUUCACCCCCCCGGAGUGAGCGUUGGAGCAGGACGCAUCCCAGUGGCUUCAAAUGAGGAGAGCUCCAUUAUCUCGCAGUGGUGGCGGGGGUGCGGAUUGUUCGAGAGUGUGGAGUUGUACGCUGUUUCCAUCUGAAAUGUAGUAUGAGCGGCGGCCGAGGGUAGCCUUCCGGACGUAUUCACCCUUCACGCGGAGGAGGAGGGGGAGGAGC
This 616-nucleotide long non-coding RNA is filed under the name Spirodela polyrhiza (greater duckweed). RNAcentral describes it as "long non-coding RNA (SPOL_LNC000906)". The record is from RNAcentral. Lineage: Eukaryota; Viridiplantae; Streptophyta; Magnoliopsida; Alismatales; Araceae.